RNAcentral lists this ribosomal RNA (441 nucleotides) under uncultured Gammaproteobacteria bacterium. RNAcentral describes it as "bacterial SSU rRNA". It matches the Rfam family "Bacterial small subunit ribosomal RNA", at positions 32 to 477 of the family's 1533-position model. Lineage: Bacteria; Pseudomonadati; Pseudomonadota; Gammaproteobacteria. The record is from RNAcentral.
UGACGCUGGCGGCAGGCUAACACCUGCAGUCUUAACGGUAACAGGAUGUGCUUGCACAUCGCUGACGAGUGGCGGACGGGUGAGUAAUGCUUAGGGAUCUGCCUCUGUGUGGGGGAUAACUAUUGGAAACGAUAGCUAAUACCGCAUAAUGUUUACGGACCAAAGGGGGCGUUUGCUCCCGCGCAGAGAGGAACCUAAGUGAGAUUAGCUAGUUGGUAAGGUAAUGGCUUACCAAGGCGACGAUCUCUAGCUGUUCUGAGAGGAAGAUCAGCCACACUGGGACUGAGACACGGCCCAGACUCCUACGGGAGGCAGCAGUGGGGAACUAUUGCACAAUGGGGGGAACCCUGAUGCAGCCAUGCCGCGUGUGUGAAGAAGGCCUUCGGGUUGUAAAGCACUUUCAGUUGUGAGGAAACGGUUAGUAGUUAAUACCUGCUAGCU